This 513-nucleotide ribosomal RNA is filed under the name uncultured bacterium. RNAcentral describes it as "bacterial SSU rRNA". It matches the Rfam family "Bacterial small subunit ribosomal RNA", at positions 28 to 524 of the family's 1533-position model. The record is from RNAcentral.
GAUGAACGCUAGCUACAGGCUUAACACAUGCAAGUCGAGGGGCGAGCAUGAAGGAAGCUUGCUUCCUUUGAUGGCGACCGGCGCACGGGUGAGUAACGCGUAUCGAACCUGCCCUGUACACGGGAACAGCCUUGCGAAAGUAAGAUUAAUGCCCGAUGUUGAGAUUCCGCCGCAUGACGGAGUUUCCAAAGAUUUAUCGGUACAGGAUGGCGAUGCGUCCCAUUAGCUUGUUGGCGGGGUAACGGCCCACCAAGGCGACGAUGGGUAGGGGUUCUGAGAGGAAGGUCCCCCACAUUGGAACUGAGACACGGUCCAAACUCCUACGGGAGGCAGCAGUGAGGAAUAUUGGUCAAUGGUCGCGAGACUGAAACCAGCCAAGUAGCGUGCAGGAUGACGGCCCUCCGGGUUGUAAAACUGCUUUUAGUUGGGAAUAAAAGGGCGUACGUGUACGUCGUAUUGUAUGUACCAUCAGAAAAAGGACCGGCUAAAUUCCGUGCCAGCCGCCGCCGUAAC